CCUACGGGAGGCAGCAGUAGGGAAUCUUUCACAAUGGGCGAAAGCCUGAUGGAGCAACGCCGCGUGCAGGAUGAAGGCCCUCGGGUUGUAAACUGCUUUUAUAAGCGAGAAAUAUGAUGGUAACUUAUGAAUAAGGAUCGGCUAACUACGUGCCAGCAGCCGCGGUCAUACGUAGGAUCCGAGCAUUAUCCGGAGUGACUGGGUGUAAAGAGUUGCGUAGGUGGCAUAAUAAGUAGCUAGUGAAAUCUGGUGGCUCAACCAUUCAGACUAUUAGCUAAACUGUUAAGCUCGAGACCGUUAGGAGUAACUGGAAUUUCUAGUGUAGGAGUGAAAUCCGUAGAUAUUAGAAGGAACACCAAUAGCGUAGGCAGGUUGCUGGGACGGUUCUGACACUAAGGCACGAAAGCGUAGGGAGCAAACGGGAUUAGAUACCCGAGUAGUC
This 442-nucleotide ribosomal RNA is filed under the name uncultured bacterium. Its description in RNAcentral is "partial 16S ribosomal RNA". It matches the Rfam family "Bacterial small subunit ribosomal RNA", at positions 338 to 795 of the family's 1533-position model. The record is from RNAcentral.